CCUACGGGUGGCAGCAGUGGGGAAUAUUGGACAAUGUGGGGAACCCUGAUCCAGCGACGCCGCGUGAGUGAAGAAGUAUUUCGGUAUGUAACGCUCUAUCAGCAGGGAAGAAAGGAAUGACGGUACCUGACUAAGAAGCCCCGGCUAACUACGUGCCAGCAGCCGCGGUAAUACGUAGGGGCCAAGCGUUAUCCGGCUUUACUGGGGGUAAAGGGAGCGUAGACGGUUACGCAAGUCUGGAGUGAAAGGCGGGGGCCCAACCCCCGGACUGCUUUGGAAACUGUAUAACUGGAGUGCAGGAGAGGUAAGUGGAAGUCCUAGUGUAGCGGUGAAAUGCGUAGAUAUUAGGAGGAACACCAGUGGCGAAGGCGGCUUACUGGACUGUAACUGACGUUGAGGCUCGAAAGCGUGGGGAGCAAACAGGAUUAGAUACCCGAGUAGUC
Molecule: ribosomal RNA, 443 nt
Filed under: uncultured bacterium
Lineage: Bacteria
Description: partial 16S ribosomal RNA
Rfam family: Bacterial small subunit ribosomal RNA
Source: RNAcentral